GUGCUGCUGAAGAGUCCCAAAAUAGGAAGAAGCAGCUGUCCAGUAC
This 46-nucleotide non-coding RNA is filed under the name Trichobilharzia regenti. Lineage: Eukaryota; Metazoa; Platyhelminthes; Trematoda; Strigeidida; Schistosomatidae. The record is from RNAcentral.